This 74-nucleotide transfer RNA is filed under the name bacterium HR20. RNAcentral's name for it is "tRNA-Ala". It matches the Rfam family "tRNA". From Rfam's summary of the family: Transfer RNA (tRNA) molecules are approximately 80 nucleotides in length. Their secondary structure includes four short double-helical elements and three loops (D, anti-codon, and T loops). RNAcentral also lists the same sequence under 1 other name. The record is from RNAcentral.
GGGCAUAUAGCUCAGCUGGUAGAGCGCUUGAAUGGCAUUCAAGAGGUCAGGGGUUCGAGUCCCCUUAUGUCCAC